Molecule: long non-coding RNA, 1783 nt
Filed under: Ananas comosus (pineapple)
Lineage: Eukaryota; Viridiplantae; Streptophyta; Magnoliopsida; Poales; Bromeliaceae
Description: long non-coding RNA (ACOM_LNC005014)
Source: RNAcentral
AACACAACAAAAAAUAAAACACAAUAAUAGUGUUUUGGUCAUUUCCACAUGCUAUUAAAUGUAAAGUUUCAAAAUAUGUCUAAAUUCUUAAACUUGAUUCAAUAUAUUGCCAGUGACCUGCCAAAAAAUUUCUCGUCACCACCUCUUAUAAAUCUGCAAAUAAAAAUAAAAAUUAGCUUUUCAAUAUUUGUUGAUCCCUGAACUGAUAAUGCAAAUAAUAUAAGAAUAAAGAGGGCAAGUACGUAGAUAAUAAUAUUGGCUAUGAACUAUAUAACAGACAGAAACCGACAUUAAUUAAAUUCAUGUAACCAAAUAUUGAGCAUUAAGAGUAACAAAGAAACUGAGUAAUUUUGAGAAAUCAGAAUAAUAAUUACAAAUAUGACUAGUAUUACAUAAAAAGAAAUUACAAAACAGGAUACGAAUGCGAAUGAAGUAACAAGUUACUAUUGCGAAUGAAGUAACAAGUAACGUUUAUUUUAGCUCAUAUUUCAAACACAAACAAAACAAUCAGAUUUGAAGCGCUUCAAAUCUUAUUUUCUUAAUCGUACGGUAUUAGUUAUGAUCCCUUUUUUGGCCAAAGUAAUCAAAAUUUCGAGUGAAUAAAAUAGUACUGCUCAUCUUUGAAUGGACUAAAUGUGAGUGUGUCGGCUAAAUCCUUUGGAUGGUCCCAGGGAAGAACAAAUUGUUGACCAAAUGGACCCCAAAAGCAGGCACAAAUGCACUGAAUUCGGCCGCCUCAAUAAUCAAACACAAUUUAUUGAAACUAGACAACAAAGUGCUAUCACCUGAAAGCGCUUUUUCUGUCUAAAAGAAAGUUGUUAUUGUGUAGUUGCCAACUUGAUCGCUACGUACGUAUAGUAACUUAAACAAUAAUAAAGAAGAAUUUCUAGGCUUAAAAGCAUCAUGAAUACCCAGCUACAAGGAGAUCAAGAGGGUAGUGAAUCACACUACUGAGUUGUUACAGCGCAACCACUCUUAAAAAGUCGAUGGCGACAAAUGGAAUGCUGAGAAAUACAUGUAAUAUCUAUCAUGAAUCAGAUAAAACUGCAGAUUGAAUUUGGCGAACAGUGAAUGAGGGUCUCUGUACGCAGUAGAAACUGGAAUGGGCCAACAGAACAGGAAUUUACAAGCCAUUUUUUCAGCCUAGCGCCGCAUUUACACUAACUGUUAAAGGACAAUAAGAAUAUAGACCACUCAGCAUCUGGUUUUUAGUUCGAUAUUUUGAUGAUUACUUUAUGUAGCUCAAUCAACACAUUAAAACAGAAGCAAGGUGACAUCUGGGACCAUUCUCUGCCUUCGUUAUAGUAGCUACAUAAAUACAGAACAUGCCGAGCAGAGAAAGGUUAAAAUCAGUAAAGAACAAUCACAAAAACAUGGUGGAGGAGUUGGGUCGGAUCUGUAGACGCGCAGGUGAUGGCUUGAACCUGCGGCUCGCCUGCAGCGAAGGUGCGGCUUGAACCUGCGGCUCGCCUGCAGCGAAGGUGUGGCUUGAACCUGCGGCUCGACGAGGCGACGCGCAGUUGCGGCUCGACGAGGCGACGCGCAGUUGCGGCUCGACGAGGCGACGUGCAGGUGCGUUGGCCUACAGCGAAGCCCGCCGUGAGGUGCUACUGGCCUGCAGCGAAGCCCCCCGUGGGGGUGCUAGAGCCACAGGCGGCGGAGGCCCGGGGCUCGCUUCCGAUGAAGACGGAGGCGCAGGGCUUGGCGGAGGCGUGAGGCUUGCUGGAAACGCGGGUGGAGGGGGCGGAGGGGACGAAGAGCUAGGGAAACGUAGAGAGAGAGA